This 494-nucleotide ribosomal RNA is filed under the name uncultured bacterium. RNAcentral's name for it is "partial 16S ribosomal RNA". It matches the Rfam family "Bacterial small subunit ribosomal RNA", at positions 30 to 523 of the family's 1533-position model. The record is from RNAcentral.
AUUGAACGCUGGCGGCAUGCUUUACACAUGCAAGUCGAACGGUAGGGUAGCAAUACCUGAGAGUGGCGAACGGGUGAGUAAUGUAUCGGAACGUGCCCAAGAGUGGGGGAUAGCCCGGCGAAAGCCGGAUUACUACCGCAUACGAUCUAUGGAUGAAAACGGGGGACCGCAAGGCCUCGUGCUCCUGGAGCGGCCGAUAUCAGAUUAGGUAGUUGGUGAGGUAAAGGCUCACCAAGCCAACGAUCUGUAGCUGGUUUGAGAGAACGACCAGCCACACUGGGACUGAGACACGGCCCAGACUCCUACGGGAGGCAGCAGUGGGGAAUUUUGGACAAUGGGCGCAAGCCUGAUCCAGCAAUGCCGCGUGCAGGAUGAAGGCCUUCGGGUUGUAAACUGCUUUUGUACGGAGCGAAAAGGCUUCUUCUAAUACAGGAGGCUCAUGACGGUACCGUAAGAAUAUGCACCGGCUAACUACGUGCCAGCAGCCGCAGUAA